GUGGCAACUCGUAAGUUUUAUUAUAUGUUAUGUUAUAUAUAAUAUAAUAUAACCCCCGUCAAGAGUUUUAAACGCUAAUUCAUUUAGUUAUUUGUUGAAGAAAAUUAUGUUUGCCCAUGAAUAGCACAUACGAGUUUGUACCAUGGGAACGAAAAUUCUGCUGCUGCCGUUUUUAUGUCCCAUUUCUUGAUUUCUUUUUCUCCAUCAAGCGUUGGCCACCAAAAAGAGUCCCAGGAGAAAAAAGUGAUACUGGGGCGUCCGCCAUUUUGAUAUAACAGAAGUUAAGUCAUAAGUGGUAGAGUUGUGUUCUCAAUUUGAACUACACAAGUUUCUCUAGGGCACAUCAUGCCCUUCUAUAGUAACAAAUUUCAGUGCUGGUUUGUUUAAUAUAAUUUUUUUCCCUAAAAACAAAAUUUAAUUAUUUUUUUGAAAAUAUUACAGUACUAUAUUAUAAAUUGAUUUACAUGUCAGAAAUUCUAAAACAACUUGAUAUAAUUAGUAAAAAAUAAAUAAUAUAAAUUUGAUUUGAUCAAUAAUACGUCAUUUUAAACAAUUUUAAUCCGUUAACAAGAUUGUACCACAAAUAAUUGGCCUUACUAUUCAUGCCCUGUUGUCUCCGCUGGGAAAAAAAAUACUGCAGUGCUAAUAUAAAAGAAGAACGCCAAAUAAAAGACAGAUUACAUAUAAAAGAAUAACGCCAAAUACAAGGCCGGUGAGGCGGUGACCACAAUCGACAAGAUAAGAUGUGUGCCUAACUUUGCUAUUGUUGAUUAUUAAUUAAGCCUUUCAGUGCUAACGAGUAACGACAAGGCACUCAAAAAAAAAAAAUAUAAAUAAAUCAGACACUGUCGUAAAUAUCAAUUAUGAGAAACUCCUCCGUCUAUUUAUUUAUGCGCCCACUAAUACUACUAGCACAAUUAGGGAUGGCAAAAUUUAGGUCCGGGUCUGAAUUUGAGUUUAGUCUUUUUGGAUUUGGACUUAGAUAUUAUUUUCUUUUUUCGGACCCGGAUUUUAAUUUGAAUUUUUUCACC
This 1031-nucleotide long non-coding RNA is filed under the name Citrus x clementina. Its description in RNAcentral is "Citrus clementina (C. clementina) long non-coding RNA (CCLE_LNC005723)". The record is from RNAcentral. Lineage: Eukaryota; Viridiplantae; Streptophyta; Magnoliopsida; Sapindales; Rutaceae.